UACGAAGGACCCAAGCGUUAUCCGGAUUUAUUGGGUUUAAAGGGUGCGUAGGCGGAUUAUUAAGUCAGUGGUGAAAGCCUGCAGCUUAACUGCAGAACUGCCAUUGAUACUGAUGAUCUUGAGUAUGAUUGAGGUGGGCGGAAUGUGUCAUGUAGCGGUGAAAUGCUUAGAUAUGACACAGAACACCGAUUGCGAAGGCAGCUCACUAAGCCAUAACUGACGCUGAUGCACGAAAGCGCGGGGAGCAAACAGG
RNAcentral lists this ribosomal RNA (253 nucleotides) under uncultured bacterium. RNAcentral's name for it is "partial 16S ribosomal RNA". It matches the Rfam family "Bacterial small subunit ribosomal RNA", at positions 524 to 776 of the family's 1533-position model. The record is from RNAcentral.